RNAcentral lists this microRNA precursor (61 nucleotides) under Pristionchus pacificus. Its description in RNAcentral is "microRNA ppc-mir-8364c precursor (ppc-mir-8364c-1)". The record is from miRBase by way of RNAcentral. Lineage: Eukaryota; Metazoa; Nematoda; Chromadorea; Rhabditida; Neodiplogasteridae.
UCUUCAUUUCACAUACUCUCUCGCUUCUCUGGCCGAUGAAAGAGCCUGUGAAAUCAAGAGA